Molecule: unclassified non-coding RNA, 5022 nt
Filed under: Leishmania donovani
Lineage: Eukaryota; Euglenozoa; Kinetoplastea; Trypanosomatida; Trypanosomatidae
Description: gene:LdHU3.29.1900(CDS-product:carnitine/choline_ acetyltransferase_putative)
Source: RNAcentral
AAUACAACUAGUAACGCACACAGACGCACUCCGUACUCAAAACACGCCGCCAUCCACGAAAAGCACGUACAGACACGCAGAUUACGCGAUUUCUUCGUCUUCUUUACCCUCCCUUUCCGUUUUGGUUUCGGGUUUGUUGUUUCGAUUAUUUGUUAUUUCUCACAUCGAAGACACGGUGCGUCACACAGUUUUUCGUUUUCCUUUAAAGAAGAAAAAGAACAGAAAAAAAGUACCCCUCUCCUUUCCUCUCCCCUCCCCUCCCACCACCAUCACAGACGCUCUCCUUAUCAUUCCCGCUUCUCUUUGGGCAUAAAAAAAGUGUGAAAAGGACACCCCAAUUUUUUUCAGUUUUUUUUUUCGGUUCUUUGGCUUUUGAUGUGUAUUUGUGCUGAGCUGCUACGACGCGAAACGGGUCCCACCUCCGCACACACGCACGGCGCAGAGCACUCCACAUAAGAGAGAGGGACAACUAGCGCUGCUGUCUCUCCGCAGCGCGCACCUCCACGCACACGCGCAUACACACCUUGUCGUCUCUGGUGUGGGAGUUCGUUUGCCUGCCCUCUCGCGUGUAGUGAGGGAGCGGUGUGUAAGCCUCCACAAAAGCGGCGGGGAAAGAGACGAUAUCAGGCGGUAACGGUCUCUCUUUUCUAGCCUUUUUUUUGUUUCUUUUAUUGGCACCAGCAGAACGCGUGUGACGGAGCGCGCGUGCACGACGCGACGAAGACGGAUCACGCUUCCUCGCAGCCGCACAACAGAAGCGUCUUCUUUUUCUUUCUCAGUUGCUUUCCACAAGAACCCACAGGCGUCCGCGUGAUCGGCAAGGGAGAACGAUUUUCAGCGACCUUCACUUCUGACCUUUUCGUGAAGUGUCGUGGUAUUUAGAUCGCUUGGCAGCCCUAUCAUCUCUUGCCGUCGCAGAAAGAGUGAGAGAGACGAACCCAUCGCACACACAUCUGCCAUCGUGAGCGGCUUCAGCCGAGACGGAGCAUCGGCUCAUCGUUUUUCUUUCUGAUAUAUCUCAUCGCUUUGAAGAGACUUUCGUUCCUCUUGCCCCCCUUUUUUUUUCCCGCUGAUCAUGAAGCGCAUCAGCGCCACCGAGCUGCAGGGCAACGUGCUCAAGCUGCCGCGUCUGCCCAUUCCGUCGGUCGCGGCCACCAUGGACGGGUACCGCUCAUCGCUGCGUGCACUAUGGUCACCCGAGGUGACGGCGCCGCACCUAGCCAAGCUGGACGCCUUCGUUAACUCCUCCGCCCCUGUGCUGCAGAGGCAUCUGGUGGACGCGGACAUGACCGCCGCCGAGUCGGGCAAGGCGCCGUUCACGUACGUGGAGGGCCUCUUGGCACAGUCGGCGCUCAACAGCCGUUCCCCACAAGAGGUGAAUAUGAACGCUAGCUUUGUUCUGCAGCAGGACAUCGCCGGGGCGGAUAGGACGCAGGCUGGAGUGGCAUCGGCCCUCACCUACGGUAUCGCGUGCUGGAUUCAGGAACUUCGGACGAAUGGUCUCUCCGUCCCGGCUGAUCCGGCGGCGCAGUACGACGUGUCGCCGCUCCUCACCGAGUUUGGCCGUAGCCUCAUUCCAUCCAAGGAGACGGAUCUGCUACAUACCACGCCACUGGAGAAGCUAAGCCACAUCAUAGUACUGCACGAUGGCCACCCUUACAUGGUCCGCGUCUUUGACGAGCACGAGCGCGUGCUCGAUCGCAGAUUGAUCCAGAAAGCCUUCGAGCUGAUCCUCACCAUCACUCCCGACCAGGACAAUACGUCUCCUGUGUCGGUGCUGACGGCUGGUAGCCGCGCUGUGUGGGGCCAGGCGUACCAAGAGCUCCUCAAGACCCCCGAAAACGCCGAGGUGCUGCGCCUCUUCCACGAAAGCAUCCUGGUGGUGUGUCUCGACAGCAUGAAGUGGGGCAACGACGAGAGUCUGGCGGAGGCCUCGGCUCUGCACGGCAGCAAGGAGGAGCUGGAGAACCGCUGGUACGACAAGCAUCAGAUGAUCGUCUCCGAGGAUGGGCAGGUGGCGUUCAACUUCGAUUCGACAUCGAGCGACCGCGUGCACUGGGCCAAGUGGAUAGGCGACGUACUCUCUAUCCUCAAAGAGAGGGGUGCUAGCGGAGGGUCGACGGAUGGCAUCGACGGUGUUGCCGUGAGCCGCAUCGUGCGCCACCUGAGCGUGACAUACGGCAAGUCGUUCGUUUCUCACAUCCGCGCGGCACGCCAGGAGGCGCUGGCGAUUGUGACGGACACCGAGGUGCAUUCCAUUCACCUUCCCUGUGGCAGGGUGCAGCUGUCCGCGCUAAAGGUGGAGCCGGAUGCGUUUGUGCAGAUGUGCCUGCAGUUAGCCAUGUAUAAGAUGCGCAACAAGCUGUACAGCACGACGGAGGUGUGCAGCACGGCCGGCUUCUUUCACGGCACCACGGAGCUGGUGCAUACGACGUCCGAGGAGAUGCUGGCGCUAGCGAAAAACCUCGCGCAGCUUCAGCAGGACGGCGAGCACGCCGCGGCGCUGGACACGAACGGCAAAGAAAUGCUCACUAAGCUAAUCCGCGCUACGAGCGACCGACACGUCGCCCUCACAGCUGCCGCAUCGCGUGGCGAGGGAUACGACCGCCACCUUAUGGCUCUACGCCACGUCGCGCGGAUCAACGGUGACAAGGCCGCGCUUGCCUUCUUUGAAGACGACUUGUUCCUCAAGACGAGCAGGUCGGUGCUGAGCACCAGCGAGUUUAGCCAGCCGUGGCUGCGGUACUACACUUUUGGCCCCAUGCAGAGCAACGGCUACGGUCUCGGGUACGUGAUCGAUGAGCAGGAGGUGCGUAUUUCUCUCUCCGCCUUUACGAACAGCCCGACAACGAACGUGGCGGACCUGAAGGCGGCUCUGAUGCUGUCUUGCAACACCCUCUGCGAGGUGCUUGGAGGCGCGCCAGCCGCAAACACCGCUGCAGCAGAAGCCACAAAAUGAGCGCCUUGCAACGAAAAAGAGGGUGAGGGAGGGGAGGGGGCUCGAGGCGUAGAGGGACAGGGGAGCAUCCGACGCCUAUGAAUGAGAGACAGACGAGAGGCUGGGCGCGCGCACUUGAUCGCCACAACCCCCUCCCCCCAACCAAACCCACACGGAAAUUCAGCCAGCACAGCGAGACGCAAAUUCAGCCUUCUUUCCUCUUGUUUUCCGCUGCCCAGGACGCGCCACCUCGCCCGCUGAUCUCGCGCUCUCUUUUGCGCAGCGUUUCUUCAUUGCUGGUCAUGAUUCUCUUCGUUCUGUGCGUUGCUAUACACACACGGAUUACAGGCAGCCCCCUCCCCUCCCCCUUCUUCCCCCUCUCCCGCCUCUCUACACAAAGCACGGCAACCAUUGCUCGCAGCAACCCACAAGCAGAGAGAUAAGGGUCAUGGUCGUGGUGGUGGGGAAACACAACAAUCAGUGCGAACAUUGUUGCUCGAGAACGGACCUGUGUUAGUGUAUCGUGGGGGGGAGGGGGCGAUUCGCAGGGUGUCUGGCCCGAGUUGGCAACAUUCAUCCUCCCCGCUCCUCCCACCGCGAGCAUAGCUCUGUUCUGGUGCUCUCUGUCUCUCUGUCUUCCGCCCCUUUUCUUGUCGUCUUGUUUGCCCUCCUCCUUCGCCUUUGUGGAGGGUAUGUGUGAAUAUCGCCAGUUCACCUUCUCGUACGCCCCGCCCUUCUCCCUUCCAGUUGUCCCCCUUCCGCGUUUCGCCUGUGCGAUCUUCUGUUUGUUUUGUGUGGCUGACUUUCUCGAGCGCCUCCUUGUCGAAAAUGUUUUCUUUGUGUGCGCGUGAGCGCAUAGAAAGAGCCCAGGAAGAGGUGGCCCACGAGGAAAAAGGGGGGGGGGACAAGCCGAAUCGGUUUCUUUGCGCUCUACCCUCCACCCUCCCUCCCCCCUCGGCAUCACUUUUCUUCGCAAGCGUCUCCGCACCUCUGCGUACUUGGGUCGGUGCGUCUCUGUCUAUGUCAGUGUUUCACAUUUUUCUGUUAUUUGUCAUGGCGCGGUGUGUGUGUGUGUGUGCGUGUGCUAGUGAGCUGCUUUUCUUAUUUCUCUUGGUACGGUCGUUUUCGUCACUCUCUUUCUCUCAGUAGCCUUGCUGAAAAAAGGUUAACGUGUUAGCGUUUGUGUGGUGAUGUCGCUGAUGUUGGUUUCUUCGCCUUACCGUCGGCCCACUUUGCACCUCUCCUUGUUUUUGUUUCCCUAUGGGCGCUCUUUUGCAUCGUAUGUUCCGACGCCCACCCUUUCUUUUUUUUUUUUGGUUGAGACUUGCUUGUGCUUCAUCUCCCUUCCUCUUAUUAACGUCUCUCUCUUCGUGUGUGUCUGUAUGUGUUUGUGUUCCUUCUCUACGCAGCAGCCGACACGGGGAUGUUACCUCCUCCUCUUCUCUGCCUGUUAGGGGGAGCAUUUCUUUUUUUUUUGUCCUUUGUGGCGUGGCUCUCGCGUCUAUUUGAGGUGAGGGAGAGGGGAUGUAUGGUGUGCGAGUAGCAGGGCAGGGCGCGUGCUGCUGGGCUUGCCUGUAUGUGAAGUGUUCGUCUUUGAUUGGUGUGUCCGUUGUUUCUUCUCCAUAAUCUACUCAAGCCAGCUUCACUUUUGUGGCUUGGUGUACUCUGCAGUGAGUGAGAUUAGGGCACGCUGUAUGUGCCCUCUGAAGUAGGUCUCUAAAGGGAUACCGAUCGGUUGGGGAAGGGGACGCUGCCGGUAGUCUGUCGUUUUGGCGUGCACCUUCGCUGAGGCCAACGGCGCGGCCGGGCCGAAUGGGGAGGUUGGGAGUAGCUGGAGACGCGGAACGAAGAGGGACAAGAGCGUACGAACGCUGUUUUUUCUUUUGAGUCAAUGCCGCUUACGAGCAGCCGCUGGCUUCCGCUGAAGGGAGCCAUCACGCCACCAAUAGGGCACGUGUUUCCGGGUCUUGCUCAAGGGGCCUCUUUCACGUUCUCCCACGGACACUGCUUACGAGUCUGUUUCUCUCUUGUUUUUCGUUCGCCUCUCUUCCGCUCGCACGUCCCCCCCUCUCUCACCCUCGUAG